RNAcentral lists this long non-coding RNA (1651 nucleotides) under Equus caballus (horse). RNAcentral's name for it is "lncRNA (ENSECAG00000047269.1)". Lineage: Eukaryota; Metazoa; Chordata; Mammalia; Perissodactyla; Equidae. The record is from RNAcentral.
UACUGAUUCAUUUUUCUCCUCUCUCUUUCCCUUAUUAUUUUUCUCUUCUUUCUCUCAUUCCCUCUUUCUCAUUAUUGUCUUUGAUUCUGUCUCAGAUUGGUCAAAAUAUCCAGGAAUAUUAGGGGACAACUAGGAAAAUUUAAAUACUAGAUACUUAUUGGUAUGAUAAAAUGUGAUUUUUUUAGGUAUGGUCGUUGUACUAUAAUUAUGUUUUAGAAAGAGUUCUUUUUUUCAGAGAUACAUGCUUAGGUGGAUGGAUGCUUUAUGCCUUAUGGAUGCUUUGAUAUGAUGUCUUGGACUUGCUUCAGUAAAACCCAGUGAAGUUAGGGGUUGAGGGACAAGAGUGAGUAGAGAUAUGGACAAAACAAGAUUGGCUAGAUUGAGCAGUGGGUACACAGGGAUUCAUUUUACUAUCAGUCUCUACUUUUGUGUAUGCUUGAAAAUUUCCAAAAUGAAACAUUUUCUAAAAUGUCCAAGAGAAAGUUCAGUCCUCAGUAUCUUCCUCAUGUUCACCAAAGUCCCCAGUUCUCCCCAAUGACAUUCUGGGCAGCUUUUCUCCUUGCUUUUCCCAGUACUUUCUGGGUUGUUCCAGACUCUGUGCCAGUGGAGUGCCACACUGCCUCAGCCCCCACAGCUGGCGAUUGGACAAGAAUCUCUUCCUGACCCCAGAUGGCAUCACAGCUUCCUCAGUCUGAUCCUGUCAGCAUAUUUUUUCCAGGCACCUGAUUCUUGGACGUGGCAGCAAUAAAACCAACCGAGAUUAUUUGGCCGGCCCCCUCUGGAGCAGGUCCCACGUACUCGCCUUGGCAUAGGUGGGGAGCUGUUGGUCCUGACUGGUUGAUGGCUGACUCCCAGUUCUGUGUUUAUCCACUGAAGCCCAGUGCAGUUGUUGUGCAAGGUGUCGGCAAAGGACCAGGAGAGGGGACCAAGCACCUCUAAGCUGAAGAAUGGUGUGCAUCUCUCCCCCUUCCACCGUUUCUGUUCAGGUUUGACUCACAGAGCCUUGCAGCUUCACAGUCACUUAUAAGAGGAGGUGGUAAAGACAGCUGCUGGAGAGAACAUCUGGCAGGGCUCUGAGCAAAUGUUCUUACCAGGGGGAUAUGAAGCCUGAGACCCUGACUAGCAUCUGAGCCCUGGGAUGCUGAGCGUUCCCCAACUCGUUAAUAAAAGGAUCUGCUGGACUCAUUGUAAGAUGGGAAUGACAAAAACUGUCUGGUUUACAUACGAGAUCACAGAUCAGGAAUGUUGGAGCGUUUCACUGGCAAGGAAUGAAGAGCUCAGCUACAAGCCUCGGAAAACAGGAGCAGGCACAGAGCAACAGCUCGUUGUGUGCUUCUUGCCCUGGGGAAAGGACGUAGUGCCUGUGGACACGGGAGUCCGCUAUCAAUGCAUGGUUACACACACCAACCGCCUGCUCUGUGUGCUGGACCCAGAAACCAUAGAGCCUUUUCCCAGCCCUUACAUUAGGACAGAGUACGAGGCUCCGAACUCUCUCCAGUGCAUCCAAGUAUCCUGGGUUUCCCUCAUUUUCUGAUCACAUUAUUGACUGGAAGGGGGAGGGGAGGGAGUACAGGUAACUAAGAAGUAGAGCGAGCACAUAGGUGUAUGAACUAUUAUAAAAUAAUAAAAAUAGCAACCACUUAUUGACCCC